UUCUAUUAAAAUUAUUAAUAGUAUAAUCUGCUCAAUGAUAUAAAUAGCCGCAAAAAUGUGCUAAGGUAGCAUAAUCAUUCGCUUUUUAAUUGAAAGCUAGAACAAAAGAUUAAACACUUUAAAUUAUUUAUUAAUAAUAAUAAUUAAAAUUAUCUUAAAUGUAAAAAGACAUUUAUAUAAAAGAAAGACGACAAGACCCUAUUGAACUUAACUACAGUUAAACUGGGGAAGUUAAUCAAUUAAAAUUUUAAUUUACAUCAAACAAAGACCUACUAUAAUUAAUAUAAUAACCAAGUUACCAUAGGGAUAACAGCAUAAUAAUUAUUUAAAGCCCAUAUUUAAAUAAAAGAUUGUGACCUCGAUGUUGAAUAAUUAACUAUAUUACGCAAUAGUAAUAAUAGUAAGUCUGUUCGACUUUUUAAAGAUUACA
Molecule: ribosomal RNA, 430 nt
Filed under: Trachelopachys sericeus
Lineage: Eukaryota; Metazoa; Arthropoda; Arachnida; Araneae; Trachelidae
Description: partial 16S ribosomal RNA
Source: RNAcentral